CUCUCCCUCCUUUGGGUGGGGAGGCUGCUCUCCCAGCAGAAAUACCCAUUCAUGUCUCUUCCUUGUGGUCUAGUGUCACCAGGGGCUAUUAUUAGGGACAGAAAUAGGUCCCCAGGCUCUGCUAAACUCCUCCAGAUCCUUUAGCCCAGGAGUUCUACUCCAUCUGUGACAUCACAAUCAUUUCCUGCAGUGCCUGCCUGUGAUGUCACCUCCCCUACUCAUCCCUUACCCCCUCCCCAAGCCCGCUGCAAACUUUCCAUGGACUCUGGUGCCAAGGACAUAGACUUUCACACGUAUCCAGGAGGAAUUUUUAGCAUGGUAUAUGCUAGAAAUAAAACACCGUCCAGAGAAGCAGUUGGGGCUUCCUCUCCAAGUUUCCUUCCUCUCUUUCCCUUGCCUGUUCUGGCUGCAGACAUUAUUUCCCCAGACAGCCUGGCAGAGCCCACACAUGCCAUCACCUGCUUGUCUUAGAAGCAAAGCUCAGCUGUUUUUUUAUUUUAUUUUUGUUUUUUAAAUCAAGUUUCCCACACCCACAUGGCAACCCAACCCAGUCCAGUGGUGAAGGAUGGAUGUGUGUGGUCAGGGCGGGGAUGAUGGUUGGGGUGAUGGAGCUUCUGAUCCAUCUUAGGAAACUGGAUUUUGCAAAAGUACCAAGUUUCUAAAUCAAGGUUAGAACUCUAAGGUUCCAUCAACUCCCAACAGCAACUCUCCCUGACUCCCUCUCCCACUCAUUCUCUGCUACCUCAGGGUGAAACUGUGAUUCUCAAGAAGUUCAGGAGUCACUGGGAGAGGAUGAGGAUCUACUAUCUAAUUUCCAUUGCUAAAAUGUUCAUUCAUUUGGCCCUUUACUCCUUCAAAAAGACUAUGUGGUAGAGUGCCAGCAAAGAUCAUUGCUUCAAGCUCAGUUCCUGUACUUUCUAGCUUAGUGACUCGCUUGACUUCACUGAAAUUCGGUUUACCCGUAUAUGAUGGAUGGAUAGUAAUAUGUUUCCCAUCUCACAAGAUCUGUUUGAAUUUAUGGAGCAUCUCAGGACUACAGGGACACAUGGAACAUCAACAAGAAUGGGGGGUGGGGGGGUCUUUCUGCAGUGUCUUAGAGAAGAAACUACAAACUUGGAAAAAUUGGACCUAUUCAGUAUAAGACUAAGUAGGAGAGAUAGUCAGCGAAAAUCCAUUCCCAAAAUGAAAAGGGACUAAUAAAUAUUGUCCUGCCCUGAAUGGAGAAGAAAGGCUAAAGGAGGGUGUGGACUCUUAAGCACAAAGCUUAUAGAAACAAUGGAUCCUUACACAUGGGCAACACAGGGUGGAAAAGAAUCUUUCUUCUCUUGAGUUGGCAAUAUAAUUUCAUACUAAAUUUACUGUGGUUUAUGUAAUUCUUUUCAUUCACACCAGAAGGAAUUUCUCUGCUGUUUCCCUUUUCAGAAGCUUGGAGACUGUAUAUCUUUGCAAAAUGGAUUUUAAAGAAGAAAAACAACAGAAAAAAAUUAAAUCAGAGCAACUCCCAAGUUUUUCAACUGCUGAGCCUUGCUUCCUAUGCUUCCAGAAAAGAUGCUCUAAAUGUUACUGGAAUGACUGUUAGCUCCAAAGACUGAGGGCUCUCCAAGAAGGUGAACUUCAAAAAUGAGUAUUGCAACUAAAGGAAUGUCAAAACUCCAUCCUUGUCUCCUCUCUGCUUUAGGACCUGCUUCUGCCAUCUGCAUGCCCUUUGGAACAAAUUGUUCUCAUCUGCCUAUUCUGCCAAGAAACAUCUUCACAAACUUGGAGUAGACAGCCAUCUUAUUUAUGAGAUGAACACCUCUGGUGUGAAGGCUUGCUGAGUCCUUUUCAAAGCUGCUCUUUUGGUGCCCACCUUUUACCCAACUCUCAUCUGUGACUACAAGAAACUGAAGUAUGUGCAGUGGCCACACUCCAAUAAAACUGUCUCAGUACCCCAUUUGUACAUUUCCAAUGAUAGAUCACUUUUCAAAGUGGUUCAUAUUCUCUUGUUGAAUAGCUCUAGUUAGUUUAGAAAAAGCUUUCCCCCCUCAUUCACUAUAUAUUAUUAUUAUUUUUAAAAUAUCAUAUUAUUUCCACCCAUUAAUCUUUGUUUUACCCUCUGGACCAAUGCAAUUCAAUUCUGAGCCCUCUUCCAUUUCAUAACUUUCAUAAAGUCAUAGAAUUAUAGAAUUGAAAAGAACCUUAGAGAUGAUCUAAUGCAACCCAUUCAUUUUAUAGGUGAGGAAACUGAGCUCCAGGGAGUCUAGGAAUAUAAUACUUAGUAUCCUACCACAGUAAAUUUAGAGUGUGAUUAGGAAGAUAAAAUCUUCUUCAUUAUCUAUAUACUUGUCACAUGCCCCCACUAGCCUGAACUCUUUGAAGUAGAGAACAAUUUUUAAAAUGUGUGUUUAUAUAUUUGCACAAAUAUAUAAAGAUGAAAAAUUAU
Molecule: long non-coding RNA, 2422 nt
Organism: Monodelphis domestica (gray short-tailed opossum)
Lineage: Eukaryota; Metazoa; Chordata; Mammalia; Didelphimorphia; Didelphidae
Source: RefSeq, a predicted model, not a curated record